Molecule: long non-coding RNA, 2082 nt
Organism: Cyprinus carpio carpio
Lineage: Eukaryota; Metazoa; Chordata; Actinopteri; Cypriniformes; Cyprinidae
Source: Ensembl
AUGGAAGGGGCUAAUCAAAGAGUACAGCCUAAUGUAAACAGGUCCACAGUUUCAUCAACUGUGCAAACAUUUUGUAAGGAAAACAGUUCUCUUCCAAUAGUGUCUGUGCAAUCAGUCAAGUGUCCCCAACUAAGCAAGCCAAAGGCGACAGUGGCAAGGAACCAAAACUCCAUCGGUGACAGAAAUGGAGAAAAAACUUUGGGAGAAACCAGGCUCAGUCAGGGGGCCAUUUCUUCUCUGGCCUGACAGGACCGGCAUGGCAUAAUUUUAUUCCAGAAUGCAACACAGGUCAGAUUGUGCAGAGGACUUGUCUGGUUCCUGUGGUUUUGUCCCAAUGGCUGUCUAGUUGAUGAGCUCUUCACAGGGGAUCUGUCUCUGGGGCGCAUCUAGUUGACGUGGUCUCUACUUACAUUCAGAGCUCUAGAGGUCAUCUUUAGGUGCUGAUCCACCAUCUGGACUGGAUACGGACUGAAUUUGGGUGGCAAAGGUGACCAUCUGAUCUGGACACAGACUGGAUCCGUAUGGCUACAAUGACCUCGGAAUAAGAAUGAAAGAGACUAAUAUUAGCACUGUUGUCAUUUUUCUUACGAUGUAAUGAGUACAUCAGGUGUUAUGGGAAGUGUUCCUGGUUGACCUAUUAAUGCAGCCUAACAAUCCUUUAAUGAAUUUGAGUUAUAGAAAUGCGAUAGUGUUUUAUGUGUAUGCCAGGUUAAAGUGAUGGAUCUUUAAUCUAGAUUUAAACCGACAGAGUGUGUCUGCCUCCCGAACAAUGCUAUAGAUUACUACAACAACUACAGAGAAUCUUAACCCUUGUGUGGUUUUCAUAUUUUUGUUAUUCAGCCAGUGUUCGUGGGUCUGGUGGACCUGCUGCAUUUUUGGCUUUUUAAUUCAACACAAUCAAAAAUUUUAUGUUAAAAUACUCAACAGAUGUGAACUUCAUCCCAAUUACAAGCAGUAUCUAAACAGCAUAUUUGGUUAAUAUUUGUCCUUUACAUUUGUUAGAUCACAUUUAUGAAUUAAAGUUUUCCCACAACCUUGUGUGGGAACAGCUGGGGGAGAAACACAAAACUAACACUUACACUCUCUCUCUCUCUCUCUCUCUCUCUCUCUCUCUCUCUCUCUCUCUCUCUCUCUCUCUCUCUCUCUCUCUCACACACACACACACACACACAUACUGAUGGCAGGCCCAGACAAUAGGAAAACAGAGUGAAGGUACACAGGACCUACAAAUUCCACACUUUUAUUAGCCCCGGGUCCAGCAUACCUGAACAUCCUGGGUGUACAGUGUGUGGUCAUUGAAAAUUUGUUCUGAUAUAUGUUCUUCACAGAAAAGGAGCCAAGGCCAAAAAGUCUGAGUUUGAAAAAUGUAAUUAAUCAUAUCAUUUUUCUUUUGAUAAAAAAUUUAAAUGAGCCACAGACCCAAACACCAUACAAGGGUUAAGGGGUAAUUUCUCACCAGUGAGAGUUUAAGCUCUCCAAGCUCAAUAUUACCAAUCGUAGGGUUUGACUUUUUGAAAUCAAUUAAUCAGUGUUUGCUUCACCUUGAUUGAGAGUAACACACACCGUUUCACGUUAUUCUGGUGCUGUCAGGACAAUGAUUCACUCUGCACCUUUUGCCCAUAAGGUUCUAUGCUGUGUUGCAAUAACAGAGAGCUAGAAACAUAAUUUUGAAAGGUUUUCUUUCCUGGAUUCCCGAAUGGCUGAUCACAGUAAUGCGUAUCAUCUAGAGCUUUGUUUUGUACAUUGUCAAUGCUCCACUGACAUUCAUUUAAAUCAUAAAAAAAAAAAAAAAAAAAAAAAUUAAAAAAUAUUUGAAAAUUAUGUAUAAUGUAGUGAUUUUGCUUUCGCCAACCUAUAGGGAGGCAAAAUAGUGUAGUGAUGGGUAUUGAUUUUUGGAUCACUUGUGACUUAAGGUGCAGUUGAGUACACCAGAUAAGAAAGACUGGUGGGAUAUCUAACUUGUAGAACCUCUUACUAUAUUAUCAACACAAGGAAGACACAAGUGUAUUAAAAUACAUUUUAUUAACAAAAGAUAGACAAGAAUAAUCAAAAACUACUAAAUUAAUACCAUAAAUGAAAAAG